This 396-nucleotide ribosomal RNA is filed under the name uncultured bacterium. Its description in RNAcentral is "partial 16S ribosomal RNA". It matches the Rfam family "Bacterial small subunit ribosomal RNA", at positions 359 to 773 of the family's 1533-position model. The record is from RNAcentral.
GAAUAUUGCACAAUGGGGGAAACCCUGAUGCAGCGACGCCGCGUGAGCGAUGAUUGCCNUCGGGUNGNAAAGCUCUGUCCUAAGGNACGAAACGGCCGGUACCUUGGGAGGAAGCCCCGGCUAACUACGUUCCCGCUGCCGCGGUAAUACGUAGGGGGCGAGCGUUAUCCGGAAUUACUGGGCGUAAAGGGUGCGUAGGCGGCCUUUUAAGUCAGAUGUGAAAGGCUACGGCUUAACCGUAGUUAGCAUUUGAAACUAAAAGGCUUGAGUGCAGGAGAGAAGAGUGGAAUUCCUAGUGUAGCGGUGAAAUGCGUAGAUAUUAGGAGGAACACCAGUGGCGAAGGCGACUCUCUGGACUGCAACUGACGCUGAGGCACGAAAGCGUGGGGAGCGAAC